Molecule: ribosomal RNA, 734 nt
Filed under: Bacillus sp. (in: firmicutes)
Lineage: Bacteria; Bacillati; Bacillota; Bacilli; Caryophanales; Bacillaceae
Description: bacterial SSU rRNA
Rfam family: Bacterial small subunit ribosomal RNA
Source: RNAcentral
UGCAAGUCGAGCGGACAGAAGGGAGCUUGCUCCCGGAUGUUAGCGGCGGACGGGUGAGUAACACGUGGGUAACCUGCCUGUAAGACUGGGAUAACUCCGGGAAACCGGAGCUAAUACCGGAUAGUUCCUUGAACCGCAUGGUUCAAGGAUGAAAGACGGUUUCGGCUGUCACUUACAGAUGGACCCGCGGCGCAUUAGCUAGUUGGUGAGGUAACGGCUCACCAAGGCGACGAUGCGUAGCCGACCUGAGAGGGUGAUCGGCCACACUGGGACUGAGACACGGCCCAGACUCCUACGGGAGGCAGCAGUAGGGAAUCUUCCGCAAUGGACGAAAGUCUGACGGAGCAACGCCGCGUGAGUGAUGAAGGUUUUCGGAUCGUAAAGCUCUGUUGUUAGGGAAGAACAAGUGCAAGAGUAACUGCUUGCACCUUGACGGUACCUAACCAGAAAGCCACGGCUAACUACGUGCCAGCAGCCGCGGUAAUACGUAGGUGGCAAGCGUUGUCCGGAAUUAUUGGGCGUAAAGGGCUCGCAGGCGGUUUCUUAAGUCUGAUGUGAAAGCCCCCGGCUCAACCGGGGAGGGUCAUUGGAAACUGGGAAACUUGAGUGCAGAAGAGGAGAGUGGAAUUCCACGUGUAGCGGUGAAAUGCGUAGAGAUGUGGAGGAACACCAGUGGCGAARGGCGACUCUCUGGUCUGUAACUGACGCUGAGGAGCGAAAGCGUGGGGAGCGAA